Molecule: long non-coding RNA, 516 nt
Organism: Sycon ciliatum
Lineage: Eukaryota; Metazoa; Porifera; Calcarea; Leucosolenida; Sycettidae
Exons: 3
Source: RefSeq, a predicted model, not a curated record
CUCACAUGCUAUGCAGUCUGAAGGGAUUUUUUUGUUGGCUAGACCAACAUGAUCGUACUUACUUCUGCUAGAUCUACGACUCCCAGAAGUAGCUGCAACGCGUGUUGUAGUCUAGUAAGUUAGUUGUUGCUUGCUAGCGCUAGUGCUUUUGUUAGUUGUGCUGCAGGUGAGGACAGAGGUAUUUGUGCUUGAGAGGAAGUUAUGAUUGUAGAUCUAGCAGACGCAGACCACGGACUAGACGCUAGCCUACAUCUCACUCCGAUCAGGCUCGUUUGCUGACAUUCGCCACACCGCCGCACACAGAAAAUGGUGGAUGUGGCAAGUACUGGUAGUUUCCAGCCAACAUGCGAACCGCAGGAAGAAACUGUUCUGGUAAGAAUGAACGCUCCCUGCAUUGUUUUAAUAAUGAGGGUAAAGUAUUGUCCUGUGGCUGCUACCUGGAUUCAUGGGACAUUGGCGUUGCCAUAGUAAGACUUCUGUUGUCAUGGUUUCCAUCACAUUUUUCAGUAAGGUAGA